This 301-nucleotide ribosomal RNA is filed under the name uncultured bacterium. RNAcentral describes it as "partial 16S ribosomal RNA". It matches the Rfam family "Bacterial small subunit ribosomal RNA", at positions 509 to 807 of the family's 1533-position model. The record is from RNAcentral.
CAGUCGCCACGGUAAUACCGAGGGUGCAAGCGUUAAUCGGAAUUACUGGGCGUAAAGCGCGCGUAGGUGGUUCGCCAAGUUGGAUGUGAAAUCCCCGGGCUCAACCUGGGAACUGCAUCCAAAACUGGCGAGCUAGAGUAUGGUAGAGGGUGGUGGAAUUUCCUGUGUAGCGGUGAAAUGCGUAGAUAUAGGAAGGAACAUCAGUGGCGAAGGCGACCACCUGGACUGAUACUGACACUGAGGUGCGAAAGCGUGGGGAGCAAACAGGAUUAGAUACCCGGGUAGUCCCUGUCUCUUAUAC